Molecule: ribosomal RNA, 255 nt
Filed under: uncultured bacterium
Lineage: Bacteria
Description: partial 16S ribosomal RNA
Rfam family: Bacterial small subunit ribosomal RNA
Source: RNAcentral
CACGUAGGCACCAAGCGUUGUCCGGAUUUAUUGGGCGUAAAGAGCUCGUAGGCGGUUCAGUAAGUCGGGUGUGAAAACUCUGGGCUCAACCCAGAGACGCCACCCGAUACUGCUGUGACUUGAGUACGGUAGGGGAGUGGGGAAUUCCUGGUGUAGCGGUGAAAUGCGCAGAUAUCAGGAGGAACACCAGUGGCGAAGGCGACUACCUGGCCUGUUUCUUGACGCUGAGGCGCGAAAGCUAGGGGAGCAAACGGG